UACGUAGGGGGCGAGCGUUGUCCGGAGUUACUGGGCGUAAAGCGCACGCAGGCGGUCUGCUAAGUUUGGAGUGACAGUUGGUGGCUUAACUGCCAAAGUGCUUCGAAAACUGACAGACUUGAGGGCUUCAGAGGGACACGGAAUUCCGGGUGGAGUGGUGAAAUGCGUAGAGAUCGGGAGGAACACCUGUGGCGAAGGCGGCCGGCUGGGGGUACCCUGACGCUGAGGCGCGACAGCGUGGGGAGCGAACCGG
Molecule: ribosomal RNA, 253 nt
Filed under: uncultured bacterium
Lineage: Bacteria
Description: partial 16S ribosomal RNA
Rfam family: Bacterial small subunit ribosomal RNA
Source: RNAcentral